RNAcentral lists this long non-coding RNA (4884 nucleotides) under Olea europaea (common olive). Its description in RNAcentral is "long non-coding RNA (OEUR_LNC012737)". Lineage: Eukaryota; Viridiplantae; Streptophyta; Magnoliopsida; Lamiales; Oleaceae. The record is from RNAcentral.
AUUUAACCACCAUAAUAGAUUGUCUUCAACUUAUUUACACGACCCGAUAGGAAUGUUUAGGCCAACAAAAAAUGAUCCUAACACAUCAAAAUAGACAACCCCAUAGCCAUUCUAACAAAAAAUUUACUACAUCCAUAACAAGCAUUAUACUAGGAAUUUUCUUAACAAAUAGACAUAAUAAUAAAAGCAAUUCAACCCGAUCCAAAUUUUCCAGAAUAACAUUCUUUAUCACUAUUGAUCACCGUCUAUAUGAGAUCUUCAUUGGACAUUGGACAAUGUGAAUGUCAUUGCAUAUAUAACAUUAGCAAUAUAAUAAUUUGAUAAAAUACUUCUAUAAAUAACAUAUGUACUGCCAGCGAUGAAUGAAUCAAAAUCGUUUCCUAGUCUUCCACACUUGUAAGAGUGAGAACCACUUUUCUAACGCAUUGAAACAACAUUACUAAGGCAAAAUAACAAGUGUUGGUGUGUGCACUUCACAUAUACUCUUCAGCUAGCAUUUUGUUACCAUGUCGACUUGAAUGCCGUCAUUGUUGUACUGAAAUGAAAAAUGGAGCAGUUAUUAUAAUUGCAUGCAUGUUUUACAUUAUUCACAUGCUUAAACAACAUUACUAAAGUAGAAUAACAUUUACAAGUAUGUAUAAUUCUCAUACGAGUGUUGAUGCACAUUGCCUAUCGUUUUUAAAUCAUAUUGAUAUGAGUGCCAUUAUGAUUCAUUAUUUAAAUAUAAAUAUGAGCGACACAUAAGCAUAUGAGGAGGGGCAAAAGGUACAAUUUAGCUAUUCAAUGGGGUAUUUUGGGGAUUUAAAAAGUCGAGGACCCAGAAGUUUUUGAUAAACCCUUGGGUCGAGUUUGAGGAGAAAAUUCAAUGUUCUCAUUAUGGGACCUCGGUCUAGAGUAUGACCACGGCUCAGCUUGCGAGGUUAGGAUUUGUGAUUGAAUGGGCCUACCACCCGAUGAAGAUUAAAGUGAUGAUGAUGAUAGUGGUGAUGAUUUGGAUGAUCCGACGGUCACAAAUGGAACUAUAUGACUUCAAUUGGCAAAACACUCCUUUCUUCAAUGUGUGUAGAUCUCAUAGGGUUGCAUACCAUCCUAGUGGCCACUUCAAGGUCUAUGUGAGACUGAAACCCUAGACCCCUGAACUAAAGGCACUAUAUGGUCUUAUUUAAAUUCUUAUUUCAAACUGAUUAUCAUUGCUGUAAUCGUGAGAAAUAGCAUAUAGAAACACAAUCUUUCAUAAAUUAUAGGAAAAAGAAAAGUUAUAUCGAAAAAAUUAAGAAUAACUACUUUAAAGUUAAAUCAAUAAAAAGCAUUAUCAGGCUAUCAACAUGCGAUACUUUUGGCAACAACUAUUAGAGAAAUAUACAGCAAAACCUCGAUUAAUAAAUAUUCGAUAAAUUAAUAAUCUCACUCAUAUAAUAAAAUUCUUCCUUCCCAACUUGGGUCAGUGUACUAAACCCUUGUUUGAUUCUUAUUAUUAUUUUUUUAAAAAAUAUAUUUCCCCCCCUUUUUUUUUCCAACUACACAUUCUUUAAUAAAUAAUAUUACACGCAAAUUCAAAAUUUUUUCUUAUUUUUUACUCAGACAUUCUCUAUCAGAAUACUUUUCCAAAAUGCAUUAUUUACCAAAAAAAUAAAAAUAAAUAAAUAAAUAAAAAGUCUCUAACGUGCUUUAAAAAAAUUAUAUAUAUAAUUUUUUUAUUUUUGAGAUCCUUUAAGGUACAAUGAAUGUAUAAAAUAAUGCGUGUUUGGACGACCGCCACCGGUGAAGGUAAUUUUGCAUUGAAUAUAGCUCAAUUGGACCUAAAAUAACGUAUUAUAACAAUAUUAUGUAUGGGAAGAGUUCAUAAAUCAAGUGUUGACUAUGUUUAAUUCAAAAUUCAGGUUAAGGGCAAAAAUCAGGUUUUAGCUAAUUAACUAAAAAUAUUUAUUAAAUAAUGAUAAUAAAGCCACUGUUAUACCAUUCAUGGUCACAUAUUCACAAUUAUAGGUCAUAGAUUUUAUAUAUCGGUCACAUAUCAUCAAAUUAAUUCGUUACAGAUUUUCUCGAGGUCAAAAAUCACAAUUUUGAUAAGUCACAGAUUAUGUCAAGAUUACAGAUCAAAAAAUUAUAGGUCAUAUAUCCAAAAAAUUAUAGUCACAAGUCACAUAUUUUCAAAUUUAAUUGUCACAUAUUACUUUUUUUAGUCACAGAUGAUUGAAUUUUAAAGUCACAGGUCAAAUAGUCAAUCACCACCAACUCCACUGUCACCACCGUCACUUAUAACCACGCUCACCCCGUUGCCACCGCCACCGCCACCACCAACACCAACAUCAACAAAAUUGACGCAACCAGAUCCACCGUCGCCACCAAACACACCAAAAAAUUGUGUUUGUAUAUAAGUCAUACAAACAAUCCGAUAAUGCGUUGAGAAUGUGACCGCGGCAUAUCAACUCGUCUUCUUGGCGCUUUUGUCUUUCAUUUCUCACCGCUUCGGUCUCUCCUUUUGUUGGUUCCGGUAGUGGCGCCAAUUUCGGAUCGAGGAUGUAGAAGAUCUUUAGUACAGUAAGAAGAAACUUUAAUUUAUCUUUCCAUCGAGUAUAGUUUGUUCUGUCGAACCGAUCUAACUACACCAAGUCUUGAUUUAUGAGUUUGAUUGUCGCCAACGUUGUCUCACUUUUCAUUGCACAAAUAUUGUUUGAGAUUGUUGGAGAAUUUUACCGGGUUGAAAUAGAAGUCACAAAACAUGAACCGGCAAUGACAAGAACUAGACAAUGACGAAUUUGUAUUAAUGAAUGGCUUGAACACAAGAUCGUUGUCCUCAAACGAUAUUUGACACUUCUCCUAUGAAUUUGAGAUGCUUCGAAGGUUGUUGACAAAUGAUUUGUAGGAUUAUAACAAGCCUUGUAAGAAUUGAAACACCAAAACACAAUUGCAAAUCCUAGAGAACUUGAAGAACACAAGGGAUGAAUAUGAAUAUGAUUUUUAAAAGACUUUGAUUUUUGAUUUUGGAAGUAAUAUGAAACAUUGAUGUUUUUGUGAUGUUUUUACCUUCAACAUGGAUCCAAUAUAUAUAUAGGCAUACACCACAUUCACGAAAUGGUACCAAACUAUAAGCCUAAAGUCACCAAAUUUAAAUUUACAGCGGGAGAAAGCAACUUCCAACGACCAAAAAAUUAUAUCAUGUGACCGCAUGGUACAAAACCAUUAACAUGCGGUCGCAUGGUUCACCCAAGGUCUCGACAUAUGGCCAUGCGACUGCAUGGCGACCAAAUUUUUUUUUUUUUUUUAAUUGUUGCUGGUUUUAAACAACAUAAUCACAGCAACAAUAUGUUAAUUAGAACUAAACCGAGAGCCAUCACUAAAAUAUCUUAAAAGCAAAAUUUAGAGAAUAAAAAUAAUCAUACGUCUAUCAGUUUUUUACUGCUGCUUCAAUUUGGUGAAAAUGAUCCUCACUGAAUCGAAGAUGUCCGUAAAAUGCAUCAUAAUAUAAACCCUAUAAAUUAUACAUCCAAUCGAACAUAAGUUGGUUAUGAGUUAACAUGACAAAUGAAGAAAAAUGUUGGCCAACUAAAUAAUAUAAGCUACUGAAAUCAAAUUUUCAAUUAAUCUGAAUCCUUUAAAAGAAGUCACUCAUCCAAUAAAGAAUAUCCUAAAGUUCCAUUUGCAAAGUAAAGAAGCUAGAUUGGGAGAGAUCUAUUCCAAAUUGAAAGGCGGAUGUGGGUAUGGUCGGCUAGCCAGCGAGUAAACUUUUAUAGGUUCUGGGCAGUGGAUUGCAAAUUACAGUUGAACGUGGAUACAUAGCCAUGUUAAAGAAAAAAAAUAAUGAUUUACAUUACCGCUUUGAAGACUCUAAACCUUAUUUAUUGGAAUCAAUUGAGCUUGUGCAUAAUUAAGUGGAGAAUAAUUUAUAGUAAGAAAAGGCAACAGAAGUAUAAAGAUAACAACAUACCUAAACUAAAACUACAGAAAAAAAGAAAAAGAAAUACACAGUAGAGCAAAGAUUGAGAAAAAAAUUGAGCUUCUUAACUAGAUAAAGAUAAAAUGUUGAAAGCCAAAAGUACAAAUGCCAACGGGAGUAUAAGACAUCCCAACUGAGCCAAAAAAUCUCCGAAAAUACUGACAAGAACCAAUUGUACUCCUUGUGAAACAUUAGAAGCAGAAAUCGAGCAGAGAAACACACAUUGAGCAAAAAUAAAAGCUUCUGAAGUAAAUCAAGGUGAAUGAAGAAUAACCCAACAAAAUUUUCGCAUAUCAAACAAAAAGAAGAUACAAGGCCUUAAAUGAAACUGAAGAAACAGACAAAGAAAUCCACAAAGAAGGAAAAAUGUAGCAAAAUUUGAAUUUUCUUAGCUAGGUCGAGCUAAUCUAAAGAAGAAUCAAUUGAAAAUAUGAACAACGGUACUGUAAAAUCGAGACACAAAACUGGAAUAGACUCGAACAGAACAAAAAUCGACGAAAAAGAAAACAUUUAGCUUCUGAAGUAGAUCAAAGUCACUCAAAAGUAAUCGAAUAGAUUUUUCACAUAUCAGACAGCAAAGAAGAAAAAUAAUUUAAGUAAAACUGAACAAACGAAGAAAAAAUCCACAAAAAGUGCAAAACUGUAACAAAAUUCGAAGUUUCUCUAGUGAAUCCAGCUAAAUAAGGAAAAAGCAGAGAAAAACAAGAGGAGGACGUACUAUAGAACGAGAAACAAAGCCGGAGAGAGAGUUAACACGAGGAAAUGAUUAUGAAAGUGUCUGGAGAAAGAGAGUAGAUGAUUUCUAUUACGUGAUAUUUUUAUCAUCAAUACGGCGUCGUUUCCACAAUAGACACGAGCAAUCGGAGACCAGAUACUGAGCAAUAGCCUAACUGGUUCCAGUGUGAAAUGAAGGGCAGAAAAAUGAAUAGUAAUUAUAGCAUUCCCUC